Molecule: ribosomal RNA, 495 nt
Filed under: uncultured bacterium
Lineage: Bacteria
Description: partial 16S ribosomal RNA
Rfam family: Bacterial small subunit ribosomal RNA
Source: RNAcentral
GAUGAACGCUGGCGGCGUGCCUAAUACAUGCAAGUCGAGCGAACAGACGAGGAGCUUGCUCCUCUGACGUUAGCGGCGGACGGGUGAGUAACACGUGGAUAACCUACCUAUAAGACUGGGAUAACUUCGGGAAACCGGAGCUAAUACCGGAUAAUAUAUUGAACCGCAUGGUUCAAUAGUGAAAGACGGUUUUGCUGUCACUUAUAGAUGGAUCCGCGCCGCAUUAGCUAGUUGGUAAGGUAACGGCUUACCAAGGCAACGAUGCGUAGCCGACCUGAGAGGGUGAACGGCCACACUGGAAAUGAGACACGGUCCAGACUCCGACGGGGGGCAGCAGUAGGGAAUCUUCCGACAUGGGCGAAAGCCUGACGGAGCAACGCCGCGUGAGUGAGGAAGGUCUUCGGAUCGUAAAACUCUGUUAUUAGGGAAGAACAAAUGUGUAAGUAACUAUGCACGUCUUGACGGUACCUAAUCAGAAAGCCACGGCUAACUACG